CAGCAGGCGCGAAAACUUUACAAUGCGGGAAACCGUGAUAAGGGGACACCGAGUGCCAGCAUCAUAUGCUGGCUGUCCGGGUGUGUAAAUACACCUGUUAGCAAGGGCCGGGCAAGACCGGUGCCAGCCGCCGCGGUAACACCGGCGGCCCGAGUGGUGAUCGUGAUUAUUGGGUCUAAAGGGUCCGUAGCCGGUUUGGUCAGUCCUCCGGGAAAUCUGACGGCUUAACCGUUAGGCUUUCGGAGGAUACUGCCAGGCUUGGAACCGGGAGAGGUAAGAGGUACUACAGGGGUAGGAGUGAAUCCCUGUAAU
RNAcentral lists this ribosomal RNA (312 nucleotides) under uncultured methanogenic archaeon. RNAcentral describes it as "bacterial SSU rRNA". It matches the Rfam family "Archaeal small subunit ribosomal RNA", at positions 333 to 646 of the family's 1478-position model. The record is from RNAcentral. Lineage: Archaea; Methanobacteriati; Methanobacteriota.